AGAAUCAAACGCUGGCGGCGUGCCUAACACAUGCAAGUCGAACGGGAAGGGGGGCUUCGGCUCCCCGGAGAGUGGCGUACGGGUGAGGUAACACGUGGGUAAUCUGCCUUUGGGUGGGGAAUAACCGAUCCGAAAGGAUCGCCUAAUACCGCAUAACGCAGCGGCACCGCAUGGUGACAGUUGUUAAAGGGGGGGAUCUUCGGACCUCCUGCCUGAAGAGGAGCCCGCGCCCGAUUAGCUAGUUGGUGAGGUAACGGCUCACCAAGGCUUCGAUCGGUA
Molecule: ribosomal RNA, 279 nt
Filed under: uncultured bacterium
Lineage: Bacteria
Description: partial small subunit ribosomal RNA
Rfam family: Bacterial small subunit ribosomal RNA
Source: RNAcentral